GACGAACGCUGGCGGCGUGCCUAAUACAUGCAAGUCGAACGCAGUGGCGAACGGGUGAGUAACGCGUAGGUAACUACCUAUUAGAGGGGGAUAACUAUUGGAAACGAUAGCUAAUACCGCAUACUAGUAGAUGGACCUGCGUUGUAUUAGCUAGUAGGGAGGGUAAUGGCCUACCUAGGCAACGAUACAUAGCCGGCCUGAGGAGGUGAACGGGCCCACUGGGACUUGUACACGGGCCAGACUCCCUCGGGAGGGAGCAGUAGGGAAUCUUCGGCAAUGGGGGGAACCCUGAACGAGCAACGCCGCGGGAGUGAAGAAGGUUUUCGGAUCGUAAAGCUCUGUUGUUAAGGAAGCGGUACUUAACCAGAAAGGGACGGCUAACUACGUGCCAGCCGCCGCGGUAAUAC
RNAcentral lists this ribosomal RNA (407 nucleotides) under uncultured bacterium. RNAcentral's name for it is "partial 16S ribosomal RNA". It matches the Rfam family "Bacterial small subunit ribosomal RNA", at positions 28 to 526 of the family's 1533-position model. The record is from RNAcentral.